This 1142-nucleotide long non-coding RNA is filed under the name Homo sapiens (human). RNAcentral's name for it is "non-protein coding lnc-ZNF107-4:1". The record is from RNAcentral. Lineage: Eukaryota; Metazoa; Chordata; Mammalia; Primates; Hominidae.
GCCCCGCCCCGCCCCGCCUCCCCGCGCCGUUGGCUGAGGCUUAGGGCUGCGACCCCCAGCACCCCUGCGAACGUGGCGCUGGAGAGUGGCGCUGCGAGUGGCGCGGAGCAUGUGUGCGGGCGCACCCUUCACGCGGCCCUGUCACCCGCCGCGCCCUGCCCGCCGAGGCCCUGGCAGCUGGGGGGUGGGCGCUGUUCGGACGCUGCGCGCGGGACCACCUCUGCUCUCGGUGCGUAAAUUCACAGAGAAACAUGAAUGGAUGGCAACAGAAAAUGAUAUUGGAACACUGGGAGUCAGCAGUUUUGCACAGGAAACGUUGGGAGAUAUUGUUUACUGUAGUCUGCCUGAAGUUGGGACAAAAGAACAAACAAGAUGAGUUUGGUGCUUUGGAAAGUGUGAAAGCUGCUAGUGAACUCUAUUCUCCUUUAUCAGGAGAAGUAACUUAAAUUAAUGAAGCUCUUGGAGAAAAUCCAGGACUUGUAAACAAAUCUUGUUAUGAAGAUGGUUGGCUGAUCAAGAUGACACUAAGUAACCCUUCAGAACUAGAUGAACUUAUGAGUGAAGAAGUAUAUGAGAGAUAGAGAAAAUCUAUUGAGGAGUGAAAAUGGAACCCCUAAAUAAACUAGUGUGAAAUAACCCAGCAGAGCUGUCUUAAAUUAGUGGUGGAUGGAAGACUUAGAAUAGCAACUUUCAGCAUUACCGAUGGGGGGGGGGAGGAAAAACUACUGUUAACACUGCUAAUGAAAGAAAAUGCCCUUUAACUUUCUAAUGAUUAUAGAUAAAGAUAAUACACGUCUUUUCCACAAUAUCCUAUGAUUUUUAGUCUAGGCUCUGGUAUUCAGAAUUCAUGAGAUUAUCCAUGGUAAAAACUGGUUAUAAAAAUUACAUAAUUCAAAGAUAAUGUUAUUCUUAAGCUUUAUAUAAUAUUGUAACUUGCAUAUAUCCAUACCUGGAUUUGGCCUGAAAUACUUAAUGAUCUUUCUAUUGGAAAUAACUGGGAGUGAAGAGGUUUUUGUUGCUUGUACAGUGUCAGAUGAGGAACAAUACUAUCUUAAUUUUGCAAUACACUGCAUUUGCUGAUGCUAUUUUUACACAGUGAAGCAACAGCUUUGCAGCAAAAUAAUAAAAUAUUUUUUUGUUAA